This is a long non-coding RNA of Priapulus caudatus, 271 nucleotides long. RefSeq lists it as uncharacterized. The transcript is spliced from 3 exons. Lineage: Eukaryota; Metazoa; Priapulida; Priapulimorpha; Priapulimorphida; Priapulidae. The record is from RefSeq and is a predicted model, not a curated record.
CUGCUCUGCGUUGCAGGUGAGGCGGGGCGUACUCGAGGAUCAGCAGCUGACGCAAGAGAACGUUCCGGUGAUUGUCACCAAGUGUCUCGACUUCAUCGGCGUCCACGGUCUGUCGUCGGAGGGCAUCUACAGGAAGAGCGGACAGGACUCUGUCGUCAGUCGUCUGCUGAACGAGUUUUACGAAGACGCGCACGGUGUCUUCCUGAAGCAGGACGGUGAAUACUCGGAACACGAGCGUCACCCAACUGCCUGAAGCGAUUCUUCCGCAACC